UACGUAGGGUGCAAGCGUUGUCCGGAAUUAUUGGGCGUAAAGAGCUCGUAGGCGGUUUGUCGCGUCGGCUGUGAAAACUCGGGGCUCAACCCCGAGCCUGCAGUCGAUACGGGCAAACUAGAGUGCUGUAGGGGAGACGUGGAAUUCCUGGUGUAGCGGUGAAAUGCGCAGAUAUCAGGAGGAACACCGGUGGCGAAGGCGGGUCUCUGGGCCGAAACUGACGCUGAGGAGCGAAAGCGUGGGGAGCGAACAGG
This 254-nucleotide ribosomal RNA is filed under the name uncultured bacterium. RNAcentral's name for it is "partial 16S ribosomal RNA". It matches the Rfam family "Bacterial small subunit ribosomal RNA", at positions 524 to 776 of the family's 1533-position model. The record is from RNAcentral.